This 4035-nucleotide long non-coding RNA is filed under the name Marmota monax (woodchuck). The record is from RNAcentral. Lineage: Eukaryota; Metazoa; Chordata; Mammalia; Rodentia; Sciuridae.
GGAAAGGUAAUCUGACGACAGGGAGGUUAAAGCUUGGAUUUCUGCCUUCAUUUUAGAUUCUGCCAUUAUUUCCAUCUGCCAAUAAGAGGUAAAAUAUCACAAAAUCAGAGUUCUUUGCUGCAGUUCUGUUAAUUCAACAAACUAAUCAGCCUUGACUUUUUUUUUUAUUAUUCACAAUCACAACAAUAGUUUUCAGGAUCAGCCAGGAUAUCCUGAGCUGCUACAGGAAAACCAUCAGAGGAGAGAAUACCUGGUACAGAUGCUGCAGUAAUCAGACAUGGUCUGGGACCAUUCAUGAUUUCUUUUUUCAUUUUUUUUAAUCUCAUAAACUUUGAUAGGGCCAUCAACAAAGGAUAAAUAACCAUGAUAAGGGUAAAAAUAGACCAGCUGCAUCUGGCUGACCUCAUCUAUUAGCCUUCACAUGAUUCCAUUUCAACAACUAUUUACUGCUAAACCACAAUAACAUUAGUUGUUGGUUAUAUAAAAUUACAAGUAUGUUUUCAAAAUAUUAUGUGAACAGCCACCAUUAAAGCAAAAGGCAGUUAAACUUUAUACAACACUUGAAUUCAAAAAGAAACACCAUAUACUUCUCUUUUCCAAAAUGGUUGGUAAGUAAUAUAAGGUCUCUUGAGGAUGCUGUCAAGUUUCCCUUGAUCCCGUUUUGUCAGUGGGAUCAAACUAUCUCUAGGUACAUUCAGCCUGGUAAAAAAUAAAUGCAAAAAAAUCAGUAAAAAAAAGCCUGUUCCCAUCACACAUAUGUUUUGCUUGUAUUUACUGUACUAUUUCAAAAAACUCAGAAAUGACAGAUAAGAAAAUCAAUACAACCCUGUCGAAUCCUAGAUCAGCAAGUUUUCAAGCAGGUAGUGGAAGUCUGUUUCUACAGUAAAUAAAUCCUAAGCAUUUUACUUUCUUCUUUUUCAAGCAGGUAGUGGAAGUCUGUUUCUACAGUAAAUAAAUCCUAAGCAUUUUACUUUCUUCUCAUCACAGGAUGAUGACAGGAAGACACACUUUUGUUAUUAAGCACAUGCCCCCAGCACUGGCACUGUGUAUGUGAUACUAGGGCAGUUGAACAAGGUGUGGUUAAGCAUCCCAGAGCAUUGAAUUCAGAGCCGUGAGUUCCACUGGGGGUGGCUAGAAGCUGCAUUUCACUGAGGGACAUUAGGUUCCAACAGGUGCUUACUUGUUUGUGAUUCAUUGAGGACAUUGUUUGUGUAGUGCUUCCCAUUCAUGUGUGUGCGCACACACACUCACCUAUCUAGUUUUAACUUUGAAAAAAGAAGAAUGUAAUUUUAUCUUGGUAUGUGUUUAAAAAUAGAACAUGAGAGGUCUGAGAUUUAGGGUGUAAUCUACUUUUUGAAGUCACAAAUUCUUGAUUUCUCAAGGGAUCUCUGGUUUCAGUCUUUUUCUAUAUCCCCAUAAUUAUGACCAUUUGCCAGUGGCAGGUUCUGGGUAGGGGUGACAAUUUGAGAGAGGCCUAGAGCAUUUCCCUUACAGUGUGUUUGCAUAGCUCCUUUGUAUAUGUAUUUGGGGUGGUUCUGAGGACACUUGUGGAAUUUAUAAGAUGCAGCUAGAGUUUCCCUAGGCCCUCUAACUUAAAAAUGAGCAGAUCAUGUGUCCUGAAUUAGUGUUAGAAAUGGCCUUCAUACAAAUAGAUCACCUCCAAGGCAUUGUGGUCAUGACACAUAACAUCAAAUUGAACAAAACUUUAAUUCACUGGAUGUAAAUGUUAAAAAAAAGAGAAAGGUUUCCUGUCAUUCUCUCAUUUUGUAAUAAGUGUCUACCCCAAAACUGUUCAUACUCCCAAUUUAGGAAACAAGCACCUGUAAUCAAGGGGUGCACUGCUUAAAGAAAUCCAAUAAGCAUGUUAAAUUAAUUUUCACUGGCAAAUUAAAACAAUAAGAAACAUUUCAAAAUUUAUCCCAUUAGCAGAAAGGAAAAAAGUGUUACUAUCUUAUGCUGGAGAGAUAUACUGGCUCUUGUUCUGCAGAGAGAAUAAAACAACCCUUCCAGCCGGGUGCAGUGACACACACCUGUAAUUCCAACAGCUUGGGAGGCUGAGGCAGGAGAGUCCAGAGUUCAAAGCCAGCCUUAGUAACUUAGCAAGACCCUGUCUCUAAAUAAAAAAUAAAAAGGGCUGGGGAUGUUGCUCAGUGAUUAAGAGCCCUUGGGUUCAAUCUCUAGUACAAAAAAAAAAAAAAGAAGUCUUAAAAUGUGUAAAAUCUUUUAGCCACCAAUUCUUCUGGGAAUUCUGCCUCAGGGUUUCUUUAAAGAUGCUGGUAAAGGUUUAGUUUAAGGAACCCAUCAACACACUAUCAGAGAUUUGGAAACCACUUAAGUGUCUAGCUAUGAGGGACUGGCCACACAAACAUCAGAAUAUCCAGAAUUGGAACUUGUAGUAGGACACAUUAAAAUGAGGUCAUAAAGAGAAAUGUAUUAGUAGGGAAAAGUGAUCACAUUGUGCUGUAUGAAAAACACAAAAUAACAGUACAGUAUGAUCACAUCUUUGUGAAAAAGUAUGGUUGUGCACAGAAAAUCUACAAAAGCACAGCUGUUUAACUGUAGGUGAUUUUUUAUCUUGUUAUUUAUUAUUUUUUUUCUAUAAUGAACAAUAUAUAUUAAAUGUGCCCCACUUGAGGUUCCCAAACUUUAAAUCAUCCCCAAAUGAGAUUUUUUAUGAAGUUAAAAAUUUAAAUGUAUGAUAAAAAAAUUGAUUCAUAUGGCAAAUGAUGUUGUCAAUGAUUACCAUUUAAUUAGAAUCCAUGUAUUAUACUCUAAGUACAAAAAAAUAUAAAAUGUUUUAACCAUAAAAUAAAAAUUUGUAGCUAGCUGCAAGUGUUAUUAUAAUUAACUAAACUUAUUCAUUAAGUAUUUUAGUACUAGAGUAGAAACACUGAUGAAUUAAAUUCAUAAUUGGUAAUCUUGAAUCAUAGUGAACAAUAUAAAUUAAAAACAACAUUAAGAGCUUUUCCUUACAGUAACUUUUAUUGAUCACAAUAAAUCACUUUAAAUGUCCUAUUUCUGCUAUACUGAAUAACCUUUUAAUAUCAGAAGGGAGUAAACCAAGCCAUCUCAUAGCUGGAACUGUGAGGUUGUGGGCUUCAAAAGACAUGGACUGAAACAAAGAGCAAAAAUAUGUUAGAUGAGGCUAACUUGCAGAAAACUAGCAUACUGGUUUUCAUAGACAAAUCAUUUUCUAAGGAAAAGCACCGAAAUGCUCUGUAUUAUCUCUGUAUUAAUUUUUUAUGGAGCAAACUACAAAUUAACCUCUCUGAUCUGCAUUUAUUACUGUGAUUCCGUCUCUCCACCUGCUCUGCCGUCCUUUUUAUCUGUAGUAAAUUUAACCAGGCAUCAGAAUCACAUGGAGGUGCAGGUUCAGUAGGUUUGGAUGGGGACUGAGAGUUGCAAAUUUCCAGGUGAUGUGGAUGCUGAUAGCUAGAGACACAUUUGGAGAAGCCCUGAUGUAUGGUUGUUGCAGACUAGUGGUGAAAUUUGGUGGUGUUUUCCUUCCUCCUUAUAGUGGAAGAAAAGGGAUCCCAAAGUCAAAAUUCAAGAUGUAAGAUUAGAGUAUGUUUGGUGAUCAGACACCAUUGUUACCCUGGGACCUUGCAGGUACUUUAGUAGGCUGGAAGGUGCAGGAUGAUAAUGGUUUUUGCCCACAGCUCAUCUAUUCCCUGUGUAUACUGGUCAUGCUGGAGGCUGGACUCCCAGCCACUGAACAGCAGAAGAUCCUGGAAUGGGACGCUAGUUCCUGAGUCCAUUCUGGAAGUCUUUUGCAUACUAGGGGUGAUAAGUAAGCACAUCAUCCCAAUGAAUGUAAAAUGUCUAAAUAGUGGAGAAAGGAAAACUACUUUUCUAUACUCACCCUAGACCCAUACUUAUAGAUGCACAUUAUUUCUAUGCCUGUUAAAAAAAAAGUUAACUUUAAAAUUAGUCUUAUAUAAUACAGGUUAAAUAAUUUGCACUCAGAUUUUAUCUAACAUCUGCAAUUUUUAGUUUUGUGGACACUACCAAUAAUAAACUUGUGGUUCUCCAUCU